Oryctolagus cuniculus (rabbit) is the source of this 1542-nucleotide non-coding RNA. Lineage: Eukaryota; Metazoa; Chordata; Mammalia; Lagomorpha; Leporidae. The record is from RefSeq and is a predicted model, not a curated record.
GACACUCCUGUUUAAAAAAAAGAAAAAGACGAACAAGUGAAAAGCAUAUCAAACUUAACGAAGUUUUAUGUGACCGGCCAGUCUUCAAGAAUGAAGACCCCGCAGUCUGAUAAAAGCAGAUGGUUGUGGAGAAGGUGACUGGACGCAAAGAGCCGGAUCUGAUGGCGAUACGCUGCUGGAGGAUCCCAGCAAGGCCUUUUGGUUCAGAUCCUCAUGGUCUCCAGCCUACUCCUGGAAUAGGGGUCUGGCCACCUUCUUUCAGAACACUUUGAGACACCAUGGACAUUAAGGUGACACCUAACUGAGCACCAAAAAGGAAACCUGUUAAAGUGAAAUGAACACUAGGAGAAAUGGUGACUUGAUCAGCCCUCACCCUGACUGUUGAUGAGCAACUUGUUUUCAAGGUUGAGGCGUUCAAGAGUAUGACAAGCUGGGUCCAGCAUUGUGGUGUAGUGAGUUAAGCACCACCUGUGGCACUGGUAUUUCAUAUACCAGUUCUUGUCCUGACUGCUCUGCUUCCAAUCCAGCUUCCUGCUGAUGCAACUGAGAAAGGAGCAGAAGAUGGCCUAAGCACUUGGGCCCCUGCCUUCUAUAUGGGGGAGAGCUGGAUGGAGUUCCUAGCCUCGGCCUGGCCUGGUCCUGGAUGCUGCAGCCAUUUUGGGAAUGAACCAGAAGAUGGACUAUUUCUUUCUCCCUCUGUCUCUUCCUCUCUGUGUCACUCUGCCUUUCAAAUAAAUAAGUCUUUUUUUUUUUUAAAGAGACUGAUCAGUGAAUUUGUUGAUCACUUUAGUUUUGUGAAUUUUUUGCUUCAUAUAUUUUUAAAAUAUGCUAUCAGAUGAAUAGAAAUUUAAGAUUCUUAUGUGUUCUUAAUAAAUAAAUAUUUUUAUACUUUUGAAAUUUCUUUUUCUUUGGGAAUACUCUGUUUUGAUGUCUACUUUGCCUGAAAUUAAUAUGGACACCUUUCUAAUGCUUAUCAUUGUUAUGGUCUAUCUUUUGGAUCCUUUUACUUUCAACCUAUUAGGGAUUUUAUAGUGUGCUUAUUUUAAAUAUGUCUUAAUUUUUUUUGAGUGUCUGCUAAGUGCUAUUCUAAACACUUAACACAAGUCUUUUAUUUAUUUUUUAUUUUUGACAGGCAGAGUGGCAAGUGAGAGAGAGAGACAGAGAGAAAAGUCUUCCUUUUCCAUUGGUUCACCCCACAAUGGCCGCUACGGCUGGUGUAUGUGGCCAGAGCACCACGCUGAUCUGAAGCAAGGAGCCAGGUGCCUCUCCUGGUCUCUCAUGUGGGUGCAGGGCCCAAGGACUUGGGCCAUCCUCCACUGCACUCCCGGGCCACAGCAGAGAGCUGAAUUGGAAGAGGAGCAACCAGGACAGAAUCCGGCGCCUCAACUGGGACUAGAACCUGGGGUGCCGGCGCCAUAGGCAGAGAGGAUUAGCCUAGUGAGCCGCGGUGCUGGCCUAAAUAUGUCUUAAUUUUUAAAAAUUAUUUUAAAUAAUUAUUUUACAUAAGUCUUUAUUUUUAAAAUUGAAUUUGAAUAUCUCUUU